Molecule: ribosomal RNA, 461 nt
Filed under: Priestia aryabhattai
Lineage: Bacteria; Bacillati; Bacillota; Bacilli; Caryophanales; Bacillaceae
Description: bacterial SSU rRNA
Rfam family: Bacterial small subunit ribosomal RNA
Source: RNAcentral
CUUCUAUGACGUUAACGGCGGACGGGUGAGUAACACGUGGGCAACCUGCCUGUAAGACUGGGAUAACUUCGGGAAACCGAAGCUAAUACCGGAUAGGAUCUUCUCCUUCAUGGGAGAUGAUUGAAAGAUGGUUUCGGCUAUCACUUACAGAUGGGCCCGCGGUGCAUUAGCUAGUUGGUGAGGUAACGGCUCACCAAGGCAACGAUGCAUAGCCGACCUGAGAGGGUGAUCGGCCACACUGGGACUGAGACACGGCCCAGACUCCUACGGGAGGCAGCAGUAGGGAAUCUUCCGCAAUGGACGAAAGUCUGACGGAGCAACGCCGCGUGAGUGAUGAAGGCUUUCGGGUCGUAAAACUCUGUUGUUAGGGAAGAACAAGUACGAGAGUAACUGCUCGUACCUUGACGGUACCUAACCAGAAAGCCACGGCUAACUACGUGCCAGCAGCCGCGGUAAUACGU